Molecule: ribosomal RNA, 439 nt
Filed under: uncultured bacterium
Lineage: Bacteria
Description: partial 16S ribosomal RNA
Rfam family: Bacterial small subunit ribosomal RNA
Source: RNAcentral
CUACGGGCUGCACCAGUGGGGAAUAUUGCACAAUGGACGAAAGUCUGAUGCAGCAACGCCGCGUGGAGGAUGACACAUUUCGGUGCGUAAACUCCUUUUAUAUAGGAAGAUAAUGACGGUACUAUAUGAAUAAGCACCGGCUAACUCCGUGCCAGCAGCCGCGGUAAUACGGAGGGUGCAAGCGUUACUCGGAAUUACUGGGCGUAAAGAGCGUGUAGGCGGGUGCAUAAGUUGGAAGUGAAAUCCUAUGGCUCAACCAUAGAACUGCUUCCAAAACUGUACACCUAGAAUGUGGGAGAGGUAGAUGGAAUUUCUGGUGUAGGGGUAAAAUCCGUAGAUAUCAGAAGGAAUACCGAUUGCGAAGGCGAUCUACUGGAACACUAUUGACGCUGAGACGCGAAAGCGUGGGGAGCAAACAGGAUUAGAUACCCGGGUAGUC